AGCCGUGUGGUAAGCACAGAGCGAAUUAUUCUUUCGCCUUUUACUAAAGAAUACCGUGUGCUUGCCACUUAUAAACGGCAUACGCCAAUUUUUGGAGGGUCUCUUUCCAUUGAGACCC
Molecule: small nuclear RNA, 118 nt
Organism: Telopea speciosissima
Lineage: Eukaryota; Viridiplantae; Streptophyta; Magnoliopsida; Proteales; Proteaceae
Product: U5 spliceosomal RNA
Exons: 1
Source: RefSeq, a predicted model, not a curated record